This 477-nucleotide ribosomal RNA is filed under the name uncultured bacterium. Its description in RNAcentral is "partial 16S ribosomal RNA". It matches the Rfam family "Bacterial small subunit ribosomal RNA", at positions 30 to 507 of the family's 1533-position model. The record is from RNAcentral.
AUUGAACGCUGGCGGCAUGCCUUACACAUGCAAGUCGAACGGUAACAGGUUAAGCUGACGAGUGGCGAACGGGUGAGUAAUGUAUCGGAACGUGCCCAGUCGUGGGGGAUAACUGCUCGAAAGAGCAGCUAAUACCGCAUACGACCUGAGGGUGAAAGCGGGGGAUCGCAAGACCUCGCGCGAUUGGAGCGGCCGAUAUCAGAUUAGGUAGUUGGUGAGGUAAAGGCUCACCAAGGCGACGAUCUGUAGCUGGUCUGAGAGGACGACCAGCCACACUGGGACUGAGACACGGCCCAGACUCCUACGGGAGGCAGCAGUGGGGAAUUUUGGACAAUGGGCGCAAGCCUGAUCCAGCCAUGCCGCGUGCGGGAAGAAGGCCUUCGGGUUGUAAAGCGCUUUUGUCAGGGAAGAAAAGGUUCUGGCUAAUACCUGGGACUCAUGACGGUACCUGAAGAAUAAGCACCGGCUAACUACGUG